CCGGCGAUUUCCGAAUGGGGAAACCCAGUGUGAUUCGUCACACUAUCAUUAACUGAAUCCAUAGGUUAAUGAGGCGAACCGGGGGAACUGAAACAUCUAAGUACCCCGAGGAAAAGAAAUCAACCGAGAUUCCCCCAGUAGCGGCGAGCGAACGGGGAGGAGCCCAGAGCCUGAAUCAGUGUGUGUGUUAGUGGAAGCGUCUGGAAAGGCGCGCGAUACAGGGUGACAGCCCCGUACACAAAAAUGCACAUGCUGUGAGCUCGAUGAGUAGGGCGGGACACGUGGUAUCCUGUCUGAAUAUGGGGGGACCAUCCUCCAAGGCUAAAUACUCCUGACUGACCGAUAGUGAACCAGUACCGUGAGGGAAAGGCGAAAAGAACCCCGGCGAGGGGAGUGAAAAAGAACCUGAAACCGUGUACGUACAAGCAGUGGGAGCCUCUUAAUGGGGUGACUGCGUACCUUUUGUAUAAUGGGUCAGCGACUUAUAUUCUGUAGCAAGGUUAACCGAAUAGGGGAGCCGAAGGGAAACCGAGUCUUAACUGGGCGUUAAGUUGCAGGGUAUAGACCCGAAACCCGGUGAUCUAGCCAUGGGCAGGUUGAAGGUUGGGUAACACUAACUGGAGGACCGAACCGACUAAUGUUGAAAAAUUAGCGGAUGACUUGUGGCUGGGGGUGAAAGGCCAAUCAAACCGGGAGAUAGCUGGUUCUCCCCGAAAGCUAUUUAGGUAGCGCCUCGUGAAUUCAUCUCCGGGGGUAGAGCACUGUUUCGGCAAGGGGGUCAUCCCGACUUACCAACCCGAUGCAAACUGCGAAUACCGGAGAAUGUUAUCACGGGAGACACACGGCGGGUGCUAACGUCCGUCGUGAAGAGGGAAACAACCCAGACCGCCAGCUAAGGUCCCAAAGUCAUGGUUAAGUGGGAAACGAUGUGGGAAGGCCCAGACAGCCAGGAUGUUGGCUUAGAAGCAGCCAUCAUUUAAAGAAAGCGUAAUAGCUCACUGGUCGAGUCGGCCUGCGCGGAAGAUGUAACGGGGCUAAACCAUG
This 1044-nucleotide ribosomal RNA is filed under the name Escherichia coli. Its description in RNAcentral is "partial 23S ribosomal RNA". It matches the Rfam family "Bacterial large subunit ribosomal RNA", at positions 104 to 1191 of the family's 2925-position model. Lineage: Bacteria; Pseudomonadati; Pseudomonadota; Gammaproteobacteria; Enterobacterales; Enterobacteriaceae. The record is from RNAcentral.